CACAAACACACACAGCACACUCACACACACACACACAGCACACCCACACAGCCACACAGCACCCCCCACACACAUACACACAGCACCCACACACACAUCAUAUUCACAUAGUCACACAGCACUCACAGCACCCUCAUACAGCCACACAGCACCCACACACCCAGCACACUCACAUACACACAGCACACACACACAGCACCCCCCACACACAUGCACACACACACAUAC
Molecule: non-coding RNA, 228 nt
Organism: Pelobates cultripes (western spadefoot toad)
Lineage: Eukaryota; Metazoa; Chordata; Amphibia; Anura; Pelobatidae
Source: the annotation of a GenBank genome assembly